RNAcentral lists this ribosomal RNA (253 nucleotides) under uncultured bacterium. RNAcentral's name for it is "partial 16S ribosomal RNA". It matches the Rfam family "Bacterial small subunit ribosomal RNA", at positions 524 to 776 of the family's 1533-position model. The record is from RNAcentral.
UACGGAGGGUGCGAGCGUUGUUCGGAAUCACUGGGCGUAAAGCGCGUGUAGGCGGUCCACUAAGUCUGGUGUGAAAGCCCGGGGCUCACCCCCGGAAGUGCACUGGAAACUGGUGGACUCGAGUCCCGGAGAGGAGAGUAGAAUUCCUGGUGUAGCGGUGAAAUGCGUAGAGAUCAGGAGGAAUACCGGUGGCGAAGGCGGCUCUCUGGACGGUGACUGACGCUGAGACGCGAAAGAGUGGGGAGCAAACAGG